Molecule: ribosomal RNA, 371 nt
Filed under: uncultured organism
Description: partial 16S ribosomal RNA
Rfam family: Bacterial small subunit ribosomal RNA
Source: RNAcentral
GGGGGUGCAAGCGUUAUUCGGAAUCACUGGGCGUAAAGAGCGCGUAGGCGGUCUCUUAAGUCAGAUGUGAAAGCCCGGGGCUCAACCCCGGAAGUGCAUUUGAAACGAAGGGACUUGAGUAUGGGAGAGGGAAGUGGAAUUCCUGGUGUAGCGGUGAAAUGCGUAGAUAUCAGGAGGAACACCGGUGGCGAUGGCGACUUCCUGGACCAAUACUGACGCUGAGGCGCGAAGGCGUGGGGAGCAAACAGGAUUAGAUACCCUGGUAGUCCACGCAGUAAACGUUGAACACUAGGUGUAGCGGGUAUUGACCCCCUGCUGUGCCGCAGCUAACGCAUUAAGUGUUCCGCCUGGGGAGUACGGCCGCAAGGCUA